AGUGAACGCUGGCGGUAGGCCUAACACAUGCAAGUCGAACGGCAGCACAGUAAGAGCUUGCUCUUACGGGUGGCGAGUGGCGGACGGGUGAGGAAUACAUCGGAAUCUACUUUUUCGUGGGGGAUAACGUAGGGAAACUUACGCUAAUACCGCAUACGACCUACGGGUGAAAGCAGGGGAUCUUCGGACCUUGCGCGAUUGAAUGAGCCGAUGUCGGAUUAGCUAGUUGGCGGGGUAAAGGCCCACCAAGGCGACGAUCCGUAGCUGGUCUGAGAGGAUGAUCAGCCACACUGGAACUGAGACACGGUCCAGACUCCUACGGGAGGCAGCAGUGGGGAAUAUUGGACAAUGGGCGCAAGCCUGAUCCAGCAAUACCGCGUGGGUGAAGAAGGCCUUCGGGUUGUAAAGCCCUGUUGUUGGGAAAGAAAAGCAGCAGGUUAAUACCCCGCUGUGCUGACGGUACCCAAAGAAUAAGCACCGGCUAACUUCGUG
This 492-nucleotide ribosomal RNA is filed under the name uncultured bacterium. Its description in RNAcentral is "partial 16S ribosomal RNA". It matches the Rfam family "Bacterial small subunit ribosomal RNA", at positions 29 to 507 of the family's 1533-position model. The record is from RNAcentral.